CCUUUCAGGAUGAACGCUAGCGGCAGGCUUAAUACAUGCAAGUCGUGGGGCAGCAUGAAGUAGCAAUACUUUGAUGGCGACCGGCAAACGGGUGCGGAACACGUACACAACCUUCCUUUGAGUGGGGAAUAGCCCAGAGAAAUUUGGAUUAAUACCCCGUAACAUAACGAUGUGGCAUCACAUUGUUAUCAUAGCUUCGGCGCUUAAAGAUGGGUGUGCGUAUGAUUAGAUAGUUGGCGAGGUAACGGCUCACCAAGUCUACGAUCAUUAGCUGAUGUGAGAGCAUGAUCAGCCACACGGGCACUGAGACACGGGCCCGACUCCUACGGGAGGCAGCAGUAAGGAAUAUUGGUCAAUGGACGCAAGUCUGAACCAGCCAUGCCGCGUGAAGGAUUAAGGUCCUCUGGAUUGUAAACUUCUUUUAUAUGGGACGAAAAAAGGUCUUUCUAGACCCCUUGACGGUACCAUAUGAAUAAGCACCGGCUAACUCCGUG
This 494-nucleotide ribosomal RNA is filed under the name uncultured bacterium. Its description in RNAcentral is "bacterial SSU rRNA". It matches the Rfam family "Bacterial small subunit ribosomal RNA", at positions 20 to 507 of the family's 1533-position model. The record is from RNAcentral.